RNAcentral lists this long non-coding RNA (284 nucleotides) under Lathyrus oleraceus (garden pea). RNAcentral's name for it is "Pisum sativum (pea) long non-coding RNA (PSAT_LNC026612)". Lineage: Eukaryota; Viridiplantae; Streptophyta; Magnoliopsida; Fabales; Fabaceae. The record is from RNAcentral.
UUUUGGUGGGUGGAUAGAACAAUUAAGAUAAUUAGAAAAAAAUAGAAUUAAUAUUAUUUUUAAUUAAUUAAAAUAAAAUAGAAAAGGAGUUUUUGGGUGGAAAUGAGAAUUUAGAGGAAAUAAGGGAAGUAGUGAAUAUUAUGGAAAGAGUUGGGUCUUAUUAUAAUUUAAAAAGGUUAAAUUAGGUUUAGAGACAAAUACAAAGGUUAGUGGAACGUUUAGGAAUAAUACAUAAAAUUAUAGUUUUUAGAGAAAAGGAGGUUAGGGCUUGGAGAGGGAAGAAC